CUGAUGGAGAGAGCAGCUAUCUGACCCACUAUUAAACUUGUUCUUCUUGAUUACAAAGAUUCAAAUACAAAGAGUUUCAAGAUUUAAAAUUUUUCAUAAAUCUACCAUUUUCCCGAAUCCUUGAAAACUGCACUUUCUCUCUCCUAUGGCGGCUGCACUGAAAACAUAACAACAUUUAUACUGCUUUUGGCGCAUGGGGCGUAGCUUCUGGCGCAUGAAGCGCAGAAGGAAGAAGCUGCCCCCAAUCCUGCAAAUUCCUGCGCAUCAUACUCCCAUUCCUGCGCAUAGUGCGCAAACUCCAGUAGCUACCACAGUUUUGAACAUUGUUUUCCAAGACAACUCUGAACAGUAUCAUCUAAGAAAGUACACAACAACCAUU
RNAcentral lists this long non-coding RNA (379 nucleotides) under Trifolium pratense (red clover). RNAcentral describes it as "long non-coding RNA (TPRA_LNC003942)". The record is from RNAcentral. Lineage: Eukaryota; Viridiplantae; Streptophyta; Magnoliopsida; Fabales; Fabaceae.